RNAcentral lists this ribosomal RNA (253 nucleotides) under uncultured bacterium. RNAcentral's name for it is "partial 16S ribosomal RNA". It matches the Rfam family "Bacterial small subunit ribosomal RNA", at positions 524 to 776 of the family's 1533-position model. The record is from RNAcentral.
UACGUAGGGGGCAAGCGUUGUCCGGAUUUAUUGGGCGUAAAGAGCGUGUAGGCGGUUUGGUAGGUCCGUUGUGAAAACUCGAGGCUCAACCUCGAGACGCCGAUGGAAACCAUCAGACUAGAGUCCGGAAGAGGAGAGUGGAAUUCCUGGUGUAGCGGUGAAAUGCGCAGAUAUCAGGAAGAACACCAGUGGCUAAGGCGGCUCUCUAGUACGGUACUGACGCUGAGACGCGAAAGCGUGGGGAGCGAACAGG